CCUACGGGUGGCAGCAGUGGGGAAUAUUGCGCAAUGGGCGAAAGCCUGACGCAGCGACGUCGCGUGAGGGAUGAAGGUCUUCGGAUCGUAAACCCCUGUCAGCAGGGAAGAACGGUCACUGUGCUAAUCAGCAGUGAAUUGACGGUACCUGCAAAGGAAGCACCGGCUAACCCCGUGCCAGCAGCAGGGGUAAUACGGAGGGCGGGAGCGUUAAUCGGAAGUACUGGGCGUAAAGCGCUCGUAGGUGGUAUGUCAAGUCAAGGGUGAAAUCCCCGGGCUCAACGUGGGAACUGCCGUUGAAACUGGCAAACUGGAGUGUGUGAGAGGAUAGUGGAAUUCGAGGUGUAGGAGUGAAAUCCGUAGAUAUCUGGAGGAACAUCAGUGGCGAAGGCGACUAUCUGGCACAUAACUGACGCUGAGGAGCGAAAGCGUGGGUAGCAAACAGGAUUAGAUACCCCUGUAGUC
RNAcentral lists this ribosomal RNA (465 nucleotides) under uncultured bacterium. Its description in RNAcentral is "partial 16S ribosomal RNA". It matches the Rfam family "Bacterial small subunit ribosomal RNA", at positions 338 to 795 of the family's 1533-position model. The record is from RNAcentral.